GAUUCUGGCUCAGGAUGAACGCUAGCUACAGGCUUAACACAUGCAAGUCGAGGGGCAGCAUUGGAGUAGCAAUACUCAGAUGGCGACCGGCGCACGGGUGAGUAACACGUAUCCAACCUGCCGCUUACUCGGGGAUAGCCUUUCGAAAGAAAGAUUAAUACCCGAUGGUAUAAAGAGUUCGCAUGUUCUCUUUAUUAAAGAAUUUCGGUAAGCGAUGGGGAUGCGUUCCAUUAGAUAGUUGGCGGGUAACGGCCCACCAAGUCUACGAUGGAUAGGGGUUCUGAGAGGAAGGUCCCCCACAUUGGAACUGAGACACGGUCCAAACUCCUACGGGAGGCAGCAGUGAGGAAUAUUGGUCAAUGGACGAGAGUCUGAACCAGCCAAGUAGCGUAGGAAGGAUGACUGCCCUAGUGGGUUAGUAAACUUCUUUUAUAAGGGAAUAAAGUGAGGGACGUGUCCCUUUUUGUAUGUACCUUAUGAAUAAGGAUCGGCUAACUCCGUGCCAGCAGCAGC
This 513-nucleotide ribosomal RNA is filed under the name uncultured bacterium. RNAcentral's name for it is "bacterial SSU rRNA". It matches the Rfam family "Bacterial small subunit ribosomal RNA", at positions 15 to 518 of the family's 1533-position model. The record is from RNAcentral.